Molecule: ribosomal RNA, 459 nt
Filed under: uncultured bacterium
Lineage: Bacteria
Description: partial 16S ribosomal RNA
Rfam family: Bacterial small subunit ribosomal RNA
Source: RNAcentral
CCUACGGGUGGCAGCAGUGAGGAAUAUUGGUCAAUGGGCGCGAGCCUGAACCAGCCAAGUCGCGUGAGGGAAGACGGUCCUAUGGAUUGUAAACCUCUUAUGUCGGGGAGCAAAAGACGCUACGCGUGGCGUUCCGAGAGUACCCGAAGAAAAAGCAUCGGCUAACUCCGUGCCAGCAGCCGCGGUAAUAGGAAGGAUGCGCGCGUUAGCCGGAUUUAGUGGGUUUAAAGGGUGCGCAGGCGGAAGAUAAAGUCAGAGGUAAAAUUGAGGGGCUCAACCUCGUCGAGCUGUUGAAACUGGUGUACUUGAGUGAGCGAGAGGUAUGCGGAAUGCGUGGUGUAGCGGUGAAAUGCAUAGAUAUCACGCAGAACACCGAUGGCGAAGGCAGCAUACCGGGGCUCAACUGACGCUCAUGCACGAAAGUGUGGGUAGCGAACAGGAUUAGAUACCCUAGUAGUC